RNAcentral lists this long non-coding RNA (1591 nucleotides) under Salmo salar (Atlantic salmon). Its description in RNAcentral is "lncRNA (ENSSSAG00000086598.1)". The record is from RNAcentral. Lineage: Eukaryota; Metazoa; Chordata; Actinopteri; Salmoniformes; Salmonidae.
GUGUCACUGUCUCAGUGGUGUGUGUUUCAGGUUGGAGGCAAAGCGGAUGGCGGUUGCUAGGUAACCAGGUAGAAUAGGGCUUGAAUUACACCGGUGUCUCUCCCUGUCCCAAAUGCAGGCAACUCUUUUCUCCGACCUCAUCUACUCUUUCCUAAAGCUAGACACCCAUCUCUUAUUUUUUGGUGGAGUUUGAGGCCUCUGCGAGGAGAAGCAAGAUACAACCAACUGAAAAGUACUGCAUCUCACAUUUGGAACCUUUUGGAACUGUCUAGAACCUUCCAGAACCUUUUAGAACGUUUGAAUUUUCUGAUCCCUGUUGCCGUCUACUAGGAGCCACCUGAGGAACUGAAGCAACUUUUUCGCUUUUCUCUGACUAGUCUGUGGUCUCUACUGGUCUGUACUGGUUUGAACUGUUUUUUGUGGAAUUGUACUGGUCUGAACUGGUCUGUAGUGGUCAAGAUGCGACGGUUAGAGCUAAAGGCCCUCUGUGCAGCGUUGCUGGUCUUUGCAGUGGUGAGCGCCGCUUCCUGUCAGUCGGACUCUUCAGACUGCUCCCAGGCUGAGUCAUGUGACCUGUGUGUUGGAGACUCCACCCUCAACUUGACUGGCUGUGUCUGGAGGGUCUGUGUGAACGGUGAGAAAUAACAGAUGAAAGGAGUGCUCUCACAGGGCUCACCAAGCCCACAAAGGACACACACACACACACACACACACACACACACACACACACACACACACACACACACAAUAUAAAUUAGAUCCCGAGCUGCAGGCAAUGAUACUGGGUGUGUGUCCGAUCAGGAUGAUUCUCAGAACUGUAAUGUGACAAGUGACCCAGACAUGUGUACAGUCAUAGAGAUCGAGGCAGAAGGUAAAGGGGACUCAGAUGGGUCUCCUGCAGAGCCGUCAGAGUUCUCUCAGGCCAGCUUCGACCUGUCCAGUUUCAUAGGAGGCAUCAUCCUGGUGUUGUGUGUCCAGGCCGGGGGCUUCUUCACCAUGCGCUUCCUCAAGAAAGAUGCCACCUACGACCCUAUAGAGCAGCCAGCCUAGAGGAGAGAGAGAAGAGGACAGUAAAAGAUGAAAGAGGGAGGGAGCUGUGACUCACCAUGCUGUCACGAUGCUUUUUAUGACGUCAUGUACCACACUCCAGUGUAUGCGUGUGUUGUACUUGUGUGUGUGUGCGUGUGUUGUACUUGUGUGUGCGUGUGUGUGUUGUACUUGUCUGUGUGUCCCAGAUGUGCACCUGUGUACAUUGUUUUGUUUGACCGAUUGUCCAUUAUGUUGUGUAACUCCUGUUUCUGUGUGUGUGUGUGUGUUCUCUUUGUACUGUCAGGUGGCCUUUCCCUGAUGCCUGUGUGUCUAUUUCUAUUUUCCUUGUCUGAUUUGUUUCGUCUGGAUCUAAUAUGUGUGCAAUAUUUACAUUGGGGGUUCAGGUUCCAUGUAUAAUGAAUGUGUAAUGAUUUGAAUCGUGUUUAAACAUGUUCAUUAGUUAGUUUUGUUGAACUGGUUUGGUUUGAACUGCAUUCAGGAGGGAGGGGUCUGGGAUCUGUUCUGUGUUGUUUAUGAAAAUAAACACAAUACAAAAAAAAUA